This 471-nucleotide ribosomal RNA is filed under the name Escherichia coli. RNAcentral describes it as "partial 23S ribosomal RNA". It matches the Rfam family "Bacterial large subunit ribosomal RNA", at positions 419 to 892 of the family's 2925-position model. Lineage: Bacteria; Pseudomonadati; Pseudomonadota; Gammaproteobacteria; Enterobacterales; Enterobacteriaceae. The record is from RNAcentral.
GGGACACGUGGUAUCCUGUCUGAAUAUGGGGGGACCAUCCUCCAAGGCUAAAUACUCCUGACUGACCGAUAGUGAACCAGUACCGUGAGGGAAAGGCGAAAAGAACCCCGGCGAGGGGAGUGAAAAAGAACCUGAAACCGUGUACGUACAAGCAGUGGGAGCACGCUUAGGCGUGUGACUGCGUACCUUUUGUAUAAUGGGUCAGCGACUUAUAUUCUGUAGCAAGGUUAACCGAAUAGGGGAGCCGAAGGGAAACCGAGUCUUAACUGGGCGUUAAGUUGCAGGGUAUAGACCCGAAACCCGGUGAUCUAGCCAUGGGCAGGUUGAAGGUUGGGUAACACUAACUGGAGGACCGAACCGACUAAUGUUGAAAAAUUAGCGGAUGACUUGUGGCUGGGGGUGAAAGGCCAAUCAAACCGGGAGAUAGCUGGUUCUCCCCGAAAGCUAUUUAGGUAGCGCCUCGUGAAUUCA